Molecule: ribosomal RNA, 445 nt
Filed under: uncultured bacterium
Lineage: Bacteria
Description: partial 16S ribosomal RNA
Rfam family: Bacterial small subunit ribosomal RNA
Source: RNAcentral
CCAGACUCCUACGGGAGGCAGCAGUGGGGGAUAUUGCACAAUGGGGGGAACCCUGAUGCAGCGACGCCGCGUGAGUGAAGAAGUAUUUCGGUAUGUAAAACUCUAUCAGCAGGGAAGAAAAUGACGGUACCUGACUAAGAAGCCCCGGCUAACUACGUGCCAGCAGCCGCGGUAAUACGUAGGGGGCAAGCGUUAUCCGGAUUUACUGGGUGUAAAGGGAGCGUAGACGGCAGAGCAAGUCUGAAGUGAAAGCCCGGGGCCCAACCCCGGGACUGCCCUUGGAACUGCAUGGCUGGAGUGCGGGAGGGGCAGGCGGAAUUCCUGGUGUAGCGGUGAAAUGCGUAGAUAUCAGGAGGAACACCGGCGGCGAAGGCGGCCUGCUGGACCGCGACUGACGUUGAGGCUCGAAAGCGUGGGGAGCGAACAGGAUUAGAUACCCCCGUAA